CGCGGCGGAUUAGCUUGUUGGCGGGGUAAAGGCCCACCAAGGCGACGAUCCGUAGCUGGUCUGAGAGGACGAUCAGCCACACUGGGACUGAGACACGGCCCAGACUCCUACGGGAGGCAGCAGUGGGGAAUCUUGCGCAAUGGGCGAAAGCCUGACGCAGCGACGCCGCGUGAGGGAAGAAGGCCUUCGGGUUGUAAAGCUCUUUCGGCAGGGACGAUUAUGACGGUACCUGCAGAAGCAGCUGCGGCUAACUACGUGCCAGCAGCCGCGGUAAUACGUAUGGGGCAAGCGUUGUUCGGAGUUAUUGGGCAUAAAGAGUGUGUAGGCGGUGUUCUAAGUUUGUCGUGAAAUCUCCCGGCUUAACUGGGAGGGUGCGGCGAAAACUGGAAUGCUAGAGGAUGGGAGAGGUAAGCGGAAUUCCUGGUGUAGCGGUGAAAUGCGUAGAUAUCAGGAGGAACACCUGUGGUGUAGACAGCUUACUGGACCAUUUCUGACGCUGAGACACGAAAGCGUGGGUAGCAAACAGGAUUAGAUACCCUGGUAGUCCACGCCCUAAACGAUGCAUACUUGGUGUGAGCGAUUCAUUUCGUUCGUGCCGGAGCUAACGCGUUAAGUAUGCCGCCUGGGGAGUACGGUCGCAAGGCUGAA
Molecule: ribosomal RNA, 648 nt
Filed under: uncultured bacterium
Lineage: Bacteria
Description: bacterial SSU rRNA
Rfam family: Bacterial small subunit ribosomal RNA
Source: RNAcentral